RNAcentral lists this ribosomal RNA (576 nucleotides) under Botryotrichum sp. Its description in RNAcentral is "partial large subunit ribosomal RNA". It matches the Rfam family "Eukaryotic large subunit ribosomal RNA", at positions 53 to 655 of the family's 3401-position model. Lineage: Eukaryota; Fungi; Ascomycota; Sordariomycetes; Sordariales; Chaetomiaceae. The record is from RNAcentral.
GAGGAAAAGAAACCAACAGGGAUUGCCCCAGUAACGGCGAGUGAAGCGGCAACAGCUCAAAUUUGAAAUCUGGCUUCGGCCCGAGUUGUAAUUUGCAGAGGAAGCUUUAGGCGCGGCACCAUCUGAGUCCCCUGGAACGGGGCGCCACAGAGGGUGAGAGCCCCGUAUAGAUGGACGCCUAGCCUGUGUAAAGCUCCUUCGACGAGUCGAGUAGUUUGGGAAUGCUGCUCAAAAUGGGAGGUAAAUUUCUUCUAAAGCUAAAUACCGGCCAGAGACCGAUAGCGCACAAGUAGAGUGAUCGAAAGAUGAAAAGCACUUUGAAAAGAGGGUUAAAUAGCACGUGAAAUUGUUGAAAGGGAAGCGCUUGUGACCAGACUUGCGCCGGGCGGAUCAUCCGGUGUUCUCACCGGUGCACUCCGCCCGGCUCAGGCCAGCAUCGGUUCUCGUGGGGGGAUAAAGGCACCGGGAACGUAGCUCCUCCGGGAGUGUUAUAGCCCGGGGCGUAAUGCCCUCGCGGGGACCGAGGACCGCGCAUCUGCAAGGAUGCUGGCGUAAUGGUCAUCAGCGACCCGUCUU